Molecule: unclassified non-coding RNA, 343 nt
Filed under: soil metagenome
Description: partial contains 5.8S ribosomal RNA, internal transcribed spacer 2, and large subunit ribosomal RNA
Rfam family: 5.8S ribosomal RNA (bases 1-119)
Source: RNAcentral
GAUGAAGAACGCAGCGAAAUGCGAUACGUAAUGUGAAUUGCAAAUUCAGUGAAUCAUCGAGUCUUUGAACGCACAUUGCGCCCCCUGGUAUUCCGGGGGGCAUGCCUGUCCGAGCGUCAUUACUGCCCUCAAGCCCGGCUUGUGUGUUGGGCCCCGUCCUCCGAUCCCGGGGGACGGGCCCGAAAGGAAGCGGCGGCACCGCGUCCGGUCCUCGAGCGUAUGGGGCUUUGUCACCCGCUCUGUAGGCCCGGCCGGCGCUUGCCGAUCAACCCCAAUUUUUAUAGGUUGACCUCGGAUCAGGUAGGGAUACCCGCUGAACUUAAGCAUAUCAAUAAGCGGAGGA